UGGGGAAUAUUGGACAAUGGGCGCAAGCCUGAUCCAGCAAUGCCGCGUGAGUGAUGAAGGCCUUAGGGUUGUAAAGCUCUUUCGCACGCGACGAUGAUGACGGUAGCGUGAGAAGAAGCCCCGGCUAACUUCGUGCCAGCAGCCGCGGUAAUACGAAGGGGGCUAGCGUUGUUCGGAAUUACUGGGCGUAAAGGGCGCGUAGGCGGCCUGUUUAGUCAGAAGUGAAAGCCCCGGGCUCAACCUGGGAAUAGCUUUUGAUACUGGCAGGCUUGAGUUCCGGAGAGGAUGGUGGAAUUCCCAGUGUAGAGGUGAAAUUCGUAGAUAUUGGGAAGAACACCGGUGGCGAAGGCGGCCAUCUGGACGGACACUGACGCUGAGGCGCGAAAGCGUGGGGAGCAAACAGGAUUAGAUACUCUGGUAGUCCACGCCGUAAACGAUGAAUGCUAGACGUCGGGGUGCAUGCACUUCGGUGUCGCCGCUAACGCAUUAAGCAUUCCGCCUGGGGAGUACGGCCGCAAGGUUAAAACUC
RNAcentral lists this ribosomal RNA (529 nucleotides) under uncultured bacterium. RNAcentral's name for it is "partial 16S ribosomal RNA". It matches the Rfam family "Bacterial small subunit ribosomal RNA", at positions 355 to 902 of the family's 1533-position model. The record is from RNAcentral.